UCUCUCUGUCUCUCUCUCUCUCUCUGUCUCUCUCUGUCUCUCUCUGUCUCUCUCUCUCUGUCUCUCUGUCUCUCUCUCUCUCUGUCUCUCUCUCUCUCUCUCUGUCUCUCUCUCUCUCUGUCUCUCUCUCUCUGUCUCUCUCUCUCUCUCUCUCUCUCUCUCAGUAUCUUUCAGACCUGCUUCAGAACCACCAGCUCCCCGUGGUCUGCACCUGCACCACGGCCGACAUCCAGGCGGCCUUCAACACCAUCGUGUCCCGCAUACAGAGAUUCUGUAACUGUAACUCCCAGACGCCCAUCCCCAUAAAGAUCGCCGUGGCGGGAGCGCAUCACUACCUGAGCGCCGUGCUGCGUCUCUUUGUGGACCACCUGUCCCAUAAGACCCCGGACUGGCUCGGGUACAUGAGGUUCCUCAUCAUCCCUCUGGGUGUUCAUCCCGUCUCUAAAUAUCUCGGCUCCAUCGACUACCGCUACAACAGUCUGUUCCAGGACGCGGCGUGGAGAGAUCUGUUCCUCAAGCCCGAGGCGCCGGUUGUAGGUGAGCGCUUUAGAGUUAGGGCGCACUCACACGACCUGGACGUGAAGUAUAAUGAAGCCCCGCCUCCAUUCAGGAGAAACACACCA
Long non-coding RNA from Labrus mixtus (cuckoo wrasse), 623 nucleotides. RefSeq lists it as uncharacterized. Lineage: Eukaryota; Metazoa; Chordata; Actinopteri; Labriformes; Labridae. The transcript has 3 exons. The record is from RefSeq and is a predicted model, not a curated record.